GUGAAAAGCACUUCGAACAGAAGAGUGAAAUAGUCCCUGAACCCAUACGCCUACAAGCUGUCGGAGCCGCUUCGUGCGGUGACGGCGUGCCUUUUGCAUAAUGAGCCUACGAGUUACUCAUCACCAGCGAGGUUAAGUACUUCAGGUACGUAAGCCGAAGCGAAAGCGAGUCUGAAUAGGGCGUCAAGUUGGUGGUGGUAGACGCGAAACCUUAGUGAUCUACCCAUGGGCAGGGUGAAGGUUUGGUAACACAAACUGGAGGCCCGAACCGGUAAACGUUGAAAAGUUUUCGGAUGACCUGUGGGUAGGGGUGAAAGGCCAAUCAAACUGGGAAAUAGCUCGUACUCUCCGAAAUGCAUUUAGGUGCAGCCUCUGUUGUUUUGUUCUAGAGGUAGAGCUACUGAUUGGAUGCGAGGGCUUCACCGCCUAUCAAAUCCGGCCAAACUCCGAAUGCUAGAACAUGAAGACAGGGAGUGAGCCAGCGGGUGCUAAGGUCCGUUGACGAAAGAGGGAGAACUCAGACCAUCAGCUAAGGUCCCCAAUUAUAUGCUAAGUUGGAAUAAAAACGGGGUGGGACUGCUUAGACAGCUAGGAUGUUGGCUUGGAAGCAGCCAUUCAUUUAAAGAGUGCGUAACAGCUCACUAGUCGAGCGGUCCUGCAUGGAUAAUACGCGGGCAUAAGCAUAUAACCGAAGCUAUGGGAUUGUAGAUGAUACAAUCGGUAGGAGAGCAUUCCAUUCAGCAUAGAAGCAGUAUCGUGAGGUAUUGUGGAGCGGAUGGAAAAGCAAAUGUAGGCAUAAGUAACGAUAAUGCGGGUGAGAACCCCGCACGCCGAAAGAUCAAGGAUUCCCCGGCAAUGUCAAUCAUCCGGGGGUAAGUCGGAUCCUAAGGGUAAGCCGAGUGGCGAUCCCGAUGGCAAACAGGUUAAUAUUCCUGUACUGAUCAUAACUGCGAUGCAGCGACGCAGAGGUGACACUGCUGCGUACUGACGGAAUAGUACGUUGAAACCCGUAUUCUUUGAUACCGGUAGUGAAGCACGCCGGUAGAGAUGAAAGGUGAUAGUACCGCAAUGCUUCGGUUGCGCGGAUAAUGCAGGUAAGCUGACUGCCAAGAAAACCUGCUAAGCUUCAGGUAAUGAUCAUCCGUACUGUAAACGGACACACGUGAUCAGGUAGAAAAUACUAAGGCGCUCGAGAGAUUCAUGGUUAAGGAACUAGGCAAAAUGGUCCUGUAACUUCGGGAUAAAGGACGCUCUUGUGAAAGAGCCGCAGAUAAUAGGCCCAGGCGACUGUUUACCAAAAACACAUGGCUAUGCUAAUUCGCAAGAAGAUGUAUAUGGCCUGACACCUGCCCGGUGCCGGAAGGUUAAGAGGAGAGCUCAGAGGUAACUCGAAGGUUUGAAUUGAAGCCCCGGUAAACGGCGGCCGUAACUAUAACGGUCCUAAGGUAGCGAAAUUCCUUGUCGGGUAAGUUCCGACCUGCACGAAUGGUGUAACGAUCUGGGUACUGUCUCAACCAUGAGCUCGGUGAAAUUGUAGUUCCGGUGAAGAUGCCGGAUACCCGCAACGGGACGGAAAGACCCCGUGAACCUUUACUGCAGCUUUGCAUUGAUUUUGGGUAACAGAUGUGUAGGAUAGGUCGGAGGCUUUGAUGCUGCGUCGUCAGGCGUAGAGUAGCCGUCGUUGAAAUACGACCCUUUUGUUAUCUGAGGUCUAAUCCCGUUAGGGAGACAUUGCAUGGUGGGUAGUUUGACUGGGGUGGUCGCCUCCAAAAGUGUAACGGAGGCUUCUCAAGGUACCCUCAAGGCGUUUGGUAAUCGUCUGCAGAGUGCAAUGGCAUAAGGGUGCUUGACUGUGAGACCGACACGUCGAUCAGGUUGGAAACAAGAGCAUAGUGAUCCGGUGGUUCCGCAUGGAAGGGCCAUCG
RNAcentral lists this ribosomal RNA (1925 nucleotides) under human gut metagenome. RNAcentral describes it as "bacterial LSU rRNA". It matches the Rfam family "Bacterial large subunit ribosomal RNA", at positions 514 to 2447 of the family's 2925-position model. The record is from RNAcentral.